CUCGUGGUUUAGUCCAGGUCUCGUGGUUUAGUCCAGGUCUCGUGGUUUAGUCCAGGUCUCAUGGUUUAGUCCAGGUCUCAUGGUUUAGUCCAGGUCUCAUGGUUUAGUCCAGGUCUCGUGGUUUAGUCCAGGUCUCGUGGUUUAGUCCAGGUCUCGUGGUUUAGUCCAGGUCUCGUGGUUUAGUCCAGGUCUCGUGGUUUAGUCCAGGUCUCAUGGUUUAGUUCAGGUCUCAUGGUUUAGUCCAGGUCUCAUGGUUUAGUCCAGGUCUCAUGGUUUAGUCCAGGUCUCAUGGUUAAUCCAGGUCUCAUGGUUUAGUCCAGGUCUCAUGGUUUAGUCCAGGUCUCAUGGUUUAGUCCAGGUCUCAUGGUUUAGUCCAGGUCUCGUGGUUUAGUCCAGGUCUCGUGGUUUAGUCCAGGUCUCGUGGUUUAGUCCAGGUCUCGUGGUUUAGUCCAGGUCUCAUGGUUUAGUCCAGGUCUCAUGGUUUAGUCCAGGUCUCAUGGUUUAGUCCAGGUCUCAUGGUUUAGUCCAGGUCUCAUGGUUAAUACAGGUCUCAUGGUUUAGUUCAGGUCUCAUGGUUUAGUCCAGGUCUCAUGGUUUAGUCCAGGUCUCAUGGUUUAGUCCAGGUCUCAUGGUUAAUCCAGGUCUCAUGGUUUAGUCCAGGUCUCAUGGUUUAGUCCAGGUCUCAUGGUUUAGUCCAGGUCUCAUGGUUUAGUCCAGGUCUCAUGGUUUAGUCCAGGUCUAAUUUUACAUGCAGUGUUUUGACCUUUUUAAUUGUGCAUAAAAGCUUAUUUAGAGAAUUGUAUUUAUUUAUUUUCUUAUCGAGAAGUUUUGGGGGAGGGGUUGUGAGGAAUAGUGAGGGGUAGUGUGGAAUAGUGAGGGAUAGUGUGGAAUAGUGAGGGGUAGUGAGGGGUAGUGAGGGGUAGUGAGGAAUAGUGAGGGGUAGUGAGGAAUAGUGAGGGGUAGUGAGGAAUAGUGAGGGGUAGUGAGGGGUAGUGUGGGGUAGUGAGGGGUAGUGAGGAAUAGUGAGGAAUAGUGAGGGGUAGUGAGG
This is a long non-coding RNA of Oncorhynchus keta (chum salmon), 1048 nucleotides long. RefSeq lists it as uncharacterized. The transcript has 3 exons. The record is from RefSeq and is a predicted model, not a curated record. NCBI's taxonomy places the organism in Eukaryota, Metazoa, Chordata, Actinopteri, Salmoniformes, Salmonidae.